Molecule: ribosomal RNA, 253 nt
Filed under: uncultured bacterium
Lineage: Bacteria
Description: partial 16S ribosomal RNA
Rfam family: Bacterial small subunit ribosomal RNA
Source: RNAcentral
UACGGAGGGUGCAAGCGUUGUUCGGAAUCAUUGGGCGUAAAGGGCGCGUAGGCGGUCCGCUAAGUCUGAUGUGAAAGCCCGGGGCUCACCCCCGGAAGGGCAUUGGAAACUGGCGGACUCGAGUCCCGGAGAGGAAGGUGGAAUUCCUGGUGUAGCGGUGAAAUGCGUAGAUAUCAGGAGGAAUACCGGUGGCGAAGGCGGCCUUCUGGACGGUGACUGACGCUGAGACGCGAAAGCGUGGGGAGCAAACGGG